GUGCUUGCUUUGGCAGCACCUAUACUAAAAUUGGAACAAUAUAGAGAAGAUUAGCAUGGCCCUUGUGCAAGGAUGAUGCGCAAAUUCAUGAAGUGUUCCAUAUUAAA
RNAcentral lists this small nuclear RNA (107 nucleotides) under Myotis brandtii (Brandt's bat). Lineage: Eukaryota; Metazoa; Chordata; Mammalia; Chiroptera; Vespertilionidae. The record is from RNAcentral.